RNAcentral lists this ribosomal RNA (301 nucleotides) under uncultured bacterium. Its description in RNAcentral is "partial 16S ribosomal RNA". It matches the Rfam family "Bacterial small subunit ribosomal RNA", at positions 509 to 807 of the family's 1533-position model. The record is from RNAcentral.
CAGUAGCCGCGGGAAUACGGAGGGGGCUAGCGUUGUUCGGAAUUACUGGGCGUAAAGCGCACGUAGGCGGCUUGGUAAGUUAGAGGUGAAAGCCUGGAGCUCAACUCCAGAAUUGCCUUUAAGACUGCCGAGCUAGCAGGUGAGAGAGGUAAGUGGAAUUCCCGGUGUAGCAGUGAAAUGCGUAGAGAUCGGGAGGAACAUCCAUGGCGAAGGCAGCUACCUGGACCAACACUGACACUGGGGCACGAAAGCGUGGGGAGCAAACAGGAUUAGAUACCCGUGUAGUCCCUGUCUCUUAUAC